GAAGAUGAUAACGGUCUAAAAACCGUUAUUUUUAUACUUGAAUUUGAUGUCAAAUCACAACCUUUAUGGCUUAGAAUGAGCUUAGAAUCAUGUAAAAACACUUUAGUUUGGUUUCAAGAGAGUCAAAAGUGGUUUUAGAGAUAUUAUGCUUGUUUUUACAUCGUUUUGACAGGAUUUUAUGUUAAUUGAAUGAUGGCAGUGAAGAAGAUAAUUUUAUCCUACAAACACUAAAAAACACUACACUAGAGCAGAGAAUCAGC
This 260-nucleotide long non-coding RNA is filed under the name Vigna radiata. RNAcentral's name for it is "long non-coding RNA (VRAD_LNC009913)". The record is from RNAcentral. Lineage: Eukaryota; Viridiplantae; Streptophyta; Magnoliopsida; Fabales; Fabaceae.